This 2927-nucleotide ribosomal RNA is filed under the name Salmonella enterica subsp. enterica serovar Choleraesuis. Its description in RNAcentral is "bacterial LSU rRNA". It matches the Rfam family "Bacterial large subunit ribosomal RNA". The record is from RNAcentral. Lineage: Bacteria; Pseudomonadati; Pseudomonadota; Gammaproteobacteria; Enterobacterales; Enterobacteriaceae.
GGGUUGUGAGGUUAAGCGACUAAGCGUACACGGUGGAUGCCCUGGCAGUCAGAGGCGAUGAAGGGCGUGCUAAUCUGCGAUAAGCGCCGGUAAGGUGAUAUGAACCGUUAUAACCGGCGAUACCCGAAUGGGGAAACCCAGUGUGACUCGUCACACUAUCAUUAACUGAAUCCAUAGGUUAAUGAGGCGAACCGGGGGAACUGAAACAUCUAAGUACCCCGAGGAAAAGAAAUCAACCGAGAUUCCCCCAGUAGCGGCGAGCGAACGGGGAGGAGCCCAGAGCCUGAAUCAGCAUGUGUGUUAGUGGAAGCGUCUGGAAAGGCGCGCGAUACAGGGUGACAGCCCCGUACACAAAAGCGCAUGUGCUGUGAGCUCGAUGAGUAGGGCGGGACACGUGGUAUCCUGUCUGAAUAUGGGGGGACCAUCCUCCAAGGCUAAAUACUCCUGACUGACCGAUAGUGAACCAGUACCGUGAGGGAAAGGCGAAAAGAACCCCGGCGAGGGAGUGAAAAAGAACCUGAAACCUGUACGUACAAGCAGUGGGAGCACAGGUUUACCUGUGUGACUGCGUACCUUUUGUAUAAUGGGUCAGCGACUUAUAUUCUGUAGCAAGGUUAACCGUAUAGGGGAGCCGUAGGGAAACCGAGUCUUAACCGGGCGUUAAGUUGCAGGGUAUAGACCCGAAACCCGGUGAUCUAGCCAUGGGCAGGUUGAAGGUUGGGUAACACUAACUGGAGGACCGAACCGACUAAUGUUGAAAAAUUAGCGGAUGACCUGUGGCUGGGGGUGAAAGGCCAAUCAAACCGGGAGAUAGCUGGUUCUCCCCGAAAGCUAUUUAGGUAGCGCCUCGUGAAUUCAUCUCCGGGGGUAGAGCACUGUUUCGGCUAGGGGGCCAUCCCGGCUUACCAACCCGAUGCAAACUGCGAAUACCGGAGAAUGUUAUCACGGGAGACACACGGCGGGUGCUAACGUCCGUCGUGAAGAGGGAAACAACCCAGACCGCCAGCUAAGGUCCCAAAGUCAUGGUUAAGUGGGAAACGAUGUGGGAAGGCCCAGACAGCCAGGAUGUUGGCUUAGAAGCAGCCAUCAUUUAAAGAAAGCGUAAUAGCUCACUGGUCGAGUCGGCCUGCGCGGAAGAUGUAACGGGGCUAAACCAUGCACCGAAGCUGCGGCAGCGACGCUGAUGCGUUGUUGGGUAGGGGAGCGUUCUGUAAGCCUGUGAAGGUGGCCUGUGAGGGUUGCUGGAGGUAUCAGAAGUGCGAAUGCUGACAUAAGUAACGAUAAAGCGGGUGAAAAGCCCGCUCGCCGGAAGACCAAGGGUUCCUGUCCAACGUUAAUCGGGGCAGGGUGAGUCGACCCCUAAGGCGAGGCCGAAAGGCGUAGUCGAUGGGAAACGGGUUAAUAUUCCCGUACUUGGUGUUACUGCGAAGGGGGGACGGAGAAGGCUAUGUUGGCCGGGCGACGGUUGUCCCGGUUUAAGCGUGUAGGUGUGUGUUCCAGGUAAAUCCGGUUCACUUUAACACUGAGGCGUGAUGACGAGGCACUACGGUGCUGAAGCAACAAAUGCCCUGCUUCCAGGAAAAGCCUCUAAGCAUCAGGUAACAUCAAAUCGUACCCCAAACCGACACAGGUGGUCAGGUAGAGAAUACCAAGGCGCUUGAGAGAACUCGGGUGAAGGAACUAGGCAAAAUGGUGCCGUAACUUCGGGAGAAGGCACGCUGACACGUAGGUGAAGUGAUUUACUCAUGGAGCUGAAGUCAGUCGAAGAUACCAGCUGGCUGCAACUGUUUAUUAAAAACACAGCACUGUGCAAACACGAAAGUGGACGUAUACGGUGUGACGCCUGCCCGGUGCCGGAAGGUUAAUUGAUGGGGUCAGCGCAAGCGAAGCUCCUGAUCGAAGCCCCGGUAAACGGCGGCCGUAACUAUAACGGUCCUAAGGUAGCGAAAUUCCUUGUCGGGUAAGUUCCGACCUGCACGAAUGGCGUAAUGAUGGCCAGGCUGUCUCCACCCGAGACUCAGUGAAAUUGAACUCGCUGUGAAGAUGCAGUGUACCCGCGGCAAGACGGAAAGACCCCGUGAACCUUUACUAUAGCUUGACACUGAACAUUGAGCCUUGAUGUGUAGGAUAGGUGGGAGGCUUUGAAGCGUGGACGCCAGUCUGCAUGGAGCCGGCCUUGAAAUACCACCCUUUAAUGUUUGAUGUUCUAACGUGGACCCGUGAUCCGGGUUGCGGACAGUGUCUGGUGGGUAGUUUGACUGGGGCGGUCUCCUCCUAAAGAGUAACGGAGGAGCACGAAGGUUGGCUAAUCCUGGUCGGACAUCAGGAGGUUAGUGCAAUGGCAUAAGCCAGCUUGACUGCGAGCGUGACGGCGCGAGCAGGUGCGAAAGCAGGUCAUAGUGAUCCGGUGGUUCUGAAUGGAAGGGCCAUCGCUCAACGGAUAAAAGGUACUCCGGGGAUAACAGGCUGAUACCGCCCAAGAGUUCAUAUCGACGGCGGUGUUUGGCACCUCGAUGUCGGCUCAUCACAUCCUGGGGCUGAAGUAGGUCCCAAGGGUAUGGCUGUUCGCCAUUUAAAGUGGUACGCGAGCUGGGUUUAGAACGUCGUGAGACAGUUCGGUCCCUAUCUGCCGUGGGCGCUGGAGAACUGAGGGGGGCUGCUCCUAGUACGAGAGGACCGGAGUGGACGCAUCACUGGUGUUCGGGUUGUCAUGCCAAUGGCACUGCCCGGUAGCUAAAUGCGGAAGAGAUAAGUGCUGAAAGCAUCUAAGCACGAAACUUGCCCCGAGAUGAGUUCUCCCUGAGACUUAGAGUCUCCUGAAGGAACGUUGAAGACGACGACGUUGAUAGGCCGGGUGUGUAAGCGCAGCGAUGCGUUGAGCUAACCGGUACUAAUGAACCGUGAGGCUUAACCUUACAACGCCGAAG